GAAAAUAUAAGAAAAGAAGCGAUUCCAAUUUGCGUUCCCCACCCUCCCACUAGUACUCGUCCGCCGCCUCUUUCUCGGGUCUUCUUCCCCUCUAGAUCGACUGACGAUAGCCGUUCGCCGAGCGGUGAAAGCCAUGGAGUCGCACAUGGGGCUCCCCAAGGAUCGAUCGCAGUUCGUUGGCCAGGCUGUGAAAGCCGUGGAAUCAAGGUUGGGCCCCUCAGCCUCAAGUCGAUCGCGCCUUCUUCCUCGCCGGCCGAAAGCCGCUUCGCCCGAGGCGCGCUCGUUUCCUAAAUGGGUGAUGUUCGACACUGAAAUCUACGUCGAGGAUCCCCAGUCCUUCUGCGAGGACGACCCGGAGACACCGUCAGCUAGAUCCCGUGACUCCAACGGCGACGACGUUCUCGUAUCCUUGCGCCUCGUCGCGCCACCAGGGGCGUCUCAUCUCCGCCUUCAUUACUCGAGGGAAGAGGAAGCCAAGAUGUUGAACGGGACCGCGCUCGUGGCGGCUCACCUCGACUCUGUCCUCUUCCGCGUCGUGCCCCCCUCCAGCCCCAUCAACCCAUUCAACUCCUGGUGCUGCUACACGGACUACUUUGUCUGCAAGGCAGGUCCCUCUGGUAUGUCGAUCUAUGGCCCUCUCCCGCCGUGCUACAAAGACGCGCAGCGGAUGGCAGCGCAGGGCCAUGCUCAGCGUUCGCACAUGCUGGAUGUAAGAGACAUAGGUCUCCUGCGCCGUGGCGAGGAUUUCGCUGUCGCAGACCUCAAGGUGCUCAUGCCUAGAGACAGUAGUUCUGAGCCGAAGGAAGCCGAGCUCUUCAGGUAUCGUUCCAAUGCCCUAACCCCGCAGUGGGAGGUCAAGCGAAUCCUGAUCUGUCAAAGUGACGAUAAGGACCAUGGGCUGCGUUGGUGGACAACUGACAAGGUCGUCUCCUUUGAAGGCAACCUGUGCUGGAUUGACUACCACAGGGGCAUCUUGUUUUGUGACGUCUUUGAUGAUGAUCCCCAGCUACAGUAUGCUGAAUUGCCUGUGGAGCCUCCCAAAGGCGAUCCCACUCACCCUGAGUUUGGCAGGGCUCACCCAUAUGUGACACGGAGCUUAUGUGUCAUAGAGGGUGGCACCUUGAUGUUCGUCAAUGUCACACGUGCUGAUGGAGAGAUUGCAAGCAAACGCAAACUUGGUUCUGGUUUCACCAUUACCUGCUGGUCUUUAGGGACGCCGUUGAGCUCCAAAAGUAUAGGCUGGGUGAAGGAAGGUGCCAUGGAAGCAGGAGAAAUCUGGAGUCAGUAUCCAAUUUUUGAUCCUCAUAUUCCCUGCCUUUCUCCGGAGUUCCCAUUUGUAAGCCUGAAUGAACACAGCAUCAUUUACGCAUUAUUGUGUGAGAGGGAAUAUGCUGCUGGACGAACAUGGGUGCUUGUGAUUGACAUUAAAAGAAAGAAACUGGAAUUGGUCAUUCCCUAUAAUGAUGUGAAUUCCUCUUGUGAAGAUACUCUGGUGUUGGAGGACAUCCUCAUUAAUUGGCCCCUUCUGCCUAGUAUGUUCUCCAUGUACUUGAAUUCACAUGCUUCCUGGUAAGUGUUAACUAUGUCAUAUUUAUAUAUUAUAUGCAUUACUGCAUACUCAACUUGUGAUCAGGCCCACUUGAGACAUCAAUGGUGUUUUCCAACUCCCGCAUGCUAUGGAAGACUCAUGUGCUGAAUAUGGCGCAUCUGGCGUAUAAUGCAUCUUCUCGCCAUCAACUAUGAUGCUCAGGGCGGUCUAGGAUUGGAAUGAAGGCCUGGAAAUAUUUCUAUUUUCGCAACUAUGUUUCAGUUAACAGGUUGAACGACUAAGAGUGGAACUACCGUUUGAUGCUCACUGGUGAUACGGGAUACAGGGGUCAAUAAAGGAUUUAAAAUAUUCCCUUUCUUUUAAAUAGUGCAAUUUGGUUAAUGGAUUGGACAGCUGACAUUCGAUUGCCCGCUGCCUAGUUUGUUGGACAUGGGCUUUAAUAGCCCCAUCAUGAGUAUGAUGGUGACUUGGACUUUAGUCAAA
Sorghum bicolor (sorghum) is the source of this 2032-nucleotide RNA transcript. RefSeq lists it as uncharacterized. The transcript is spliced from 2 exons. NCBI's taxonomy places the organism in Eukaryota, Viridiplantae, Streptophyta, Magnoliopsida, Poales, Poaceae. The record is from RefSeq and is a predicted model, not a curated record.